UGCCUACGGGAGCAGCAGUGAGGAAUAUUGGUCAAUGGCCGGAAGGCUGAACCAGCCAAGCCGCGUGAAGGACGAAGGUGCCAAGCAUUGUAAACUUCUUUUGUCAAGGGACAAAAUCAGGCUCGAGAGCCUGACCGAGGGUACUUGAAGAAAAAGCAUCGGCUAACUCCGUGCCAGCAGCCGCGGUAAUACGUAGGUGGCAAGCGUUAUCCGGAUUUAUUGGGUGUAAAGGGCGUGUAGGCGGGAAUGCAAGUCAGAUGUGAAAACUAUGGGCUCAACCCAUAGCCUGCAUUU
RNAcentral lists this ribosomal RNA (294 nucleotides) under uncultured bacterium. Its description in RNAcentral is "partial 16S ribosomal RNA". It matches the Rfam family "Bacterial small subunit ribosomal RNA", at positions 335 to 628 of the family's 1533-position model. The record is from RNAcentral.